UACGUAGGGUGCGAGCGUUGUCCGGAAUUAUUGGGCGUAAAGAGCUUGUAGGCGGUUUGUCGCGUCUGCUGUGAAAAUCCGGGGCUCAACCCCGGACUUGCAGUGGGUACGGGCAGACUAGAGUGUGGUAGGGGAGACUGGAAUUCCUGGUGUAACGGUGGAAUGCGCAGAUAUCAGGAGGAACACCGAUGGCGAAGGCAGGUCUCUGGGCCACUACUGACGCUAAGAAGCGAAAGCGUGGGGAGCGAACAGG
RNAcentral lists this ribosomal RNA (253 nucleotides) under uncultured bacterium. Its description in RNAcentral is "partial 16S ribosomal RNA". It matches the Rfam family "Bacterial small subunit ribosomal RNA", at positions 524 to 776 of the family's 1533-position model. The record is from RNAcentral.